Molecule: ribosomal RNA, 166 nt
Filed under: uncultured bacterium
Lineage: Bacteria
Description: partial 16S rRNA
Rfam family: Bacterial small subunit ribosomal RNA
Source: RNAcentral
UAGGGAAUCUUCGGCAAUGGGGGCAACCCUGACCGAGCAACGCCGCGUGAGUGAAGAAGGUUUUCGGAUCGUAAAGCUCUGUUGUAAGAGAAGAACGGUGUGUGAGAGUGGAAAGUUCACACAGUGACGGUAACUUACCAGAAAGGGACGGCUAACUACGUGCCUG